UGUCCGAAGAAAGCGAUCCAUAUACUGAUCUAUUCGGAUCAUCACCAUCGUCAUGAUGAUCUUAUAAUCAGGAGCAAUUUAAGAAUUAACCAUCAAUGACACGUCUCAAAUUCUUAACUCUUUGAGAAUAUGUGUCGUCAUCUUGUGAAUUUCUUGGAUGAUUUAUGGAUACAUAAAACAUGAAUGAUAAUAUAAAUACUCAUAAAGUACAAAAAUAUGUCCUAGAAAUAUAAUAUGCGUC
Molecule: long non-coding RNA, 241 nt
Filed under: Elaeis guineensis (African oil palm)
Lineage: Eukaryota; Viridiplantae; Streptophyta; Magnoliopsida; Arecales; Arecaceae
Description: long non-coding RNA (EGUI_LNC048899)
Source: RNAcentral